UAAUUAAUUGCCUUUUAAUUGGGGGCUUGUUUGAAUGGUUUGACGAGAUAGAGAUGAAUAUUUAAUAUUUACUUGAAUUUAAUUUUGAGGGCACAGAUUCCUCAGUUAUUAAUUAGACGGAAAGACCCUGGGAUCUUGUGAUUUUGCUUGGGGCAAGUUUGGUUAUUGUAAUUAAAUUUUGACCUCAUAAUGGUUUAUUGGAUUAAGUUACCCCAGGGAUAACAGUGUAAUGAUUAAUAAGAGAUCAUAUCUAGUUAAUUGUUUGCCACCUCGAUGUUGACUUAGGUUGUAGCCCAGGUGUAGGAGUUUGGGUUUUGGGUCUGUUCGACCUUUUGA
RNAcentral lists this ribosomal RNA (336 nucleotides) under Cladothyridium sp. Kunashiri. RNAcentral describes it as "partial 16S ribosomal RNA". The stretch from base 116 to 336 matches the Rfam family "Bacterial large subunit ribosomal RNA", at positions 2079 to 2592 of the family's 2925-position model. Lineage: Eukaryota; Metazoa; Platyhelminthes; Cestoda; Cyclophyllidea; Hymenolepididae. The record is from RNAcentral.